CCUACGGGUGGCAGCAGUGGGGAAUAUUGCACAAUGGGGGAAACCCUGAUGCAGCGACGCCGCGUGGGUGACGAAGUAUCUCGGUAUGGAAAGCCCUAUCAGCAGGGAAGAAGAUGACAGUACCUGAGUAAGAAGCCCCGGCUAACGACGUGCCAGCAGCCGCGGUGACACGUAGGGGGCACGCGUUAUCCGGAUUUACUGGGUGUAAAGGGAGCGUAGUUGGCAUGGAAAGACAGAUAGGAAAACCCGGGGCUUAACCCCGCGGAUUGCUUUUGGAACUGUCAGGCUGGAGUGCAGGAGGAGCAGGCGGAAUGCCUGGUGUAGCGGUGAAAUGCGUAGAUAUCAGGAGGAACACCGGUGGCGAAGGCGGCCUGCUGGACUGUAACGGACACUGAGGCUCGAAAGCGUGGGGAGCAAACAGGAUUAGAUACCCGUGUAGUC
This 441-nucleotide ribosomal RNA is filed under the name uncultured bacterium. RNAcentral's name for it is "partial 16S ribosomal RNA". It matches the Rfam family "Bacterial small subunit ribosomal RNA", at positions 338 to 795 of the family's 1533-position model. The record is from RNAcentral.